UUUAGCCUACGGGGGGCAGCAGCGGGGAAUAUUGCACAAUGGGGGAAACCCCGAUGCAGCAACGCCGCGUGAGUGAAGAAGUAUUUCGGUAUGUAAAGCUCUAUCAGCAGGGAAGAAGAUGACGGUACCUGAGUAAGAAGCCCCGGCUAACUACGUGCCAGCAGCCGCGGUAAUACGUAGGGGGCAAGCGUUAUCCGGAUUUACUGGGUGUAAAGGGAGCGUAGACGGUGAGACAAGUCUGAAGUGAAAGCCCGGGGCUCAACCCCGGGACUGCUUUGGAAACUGCCUGACUGGAGUGCUGGAGG
This 305-nucleotide ribosomal RNA is filed under the name uncultured bacterium. RNAcentral's name for it is "bacterial SSU rRNA". It matches the Rfam family "Bacterial small subunit ribosomal RNA", at positions 333 to 655 of the family's 1533-position model. The record is from RNAcentral.